GUACACUCCUACGGGAGGCAGCAGUGGGGAAUUUUGGACAAUGGGCGAAAGCCUGAUCCAGCAAUGCCGCGUGAGUGAAGAAGGCCUUCGGGUUGUAAAGCUCUUUUGUCAGGGAAGAAACGGUGAAAGCUAAUAUCUUUUGCUAAUGACGGUACCUGAAGAAUAAGCACCGGCUAACUACGUGCCAGCAGCCGCGGUAAUACGUAGGGUGCAAGCGUUAAUCGGAAUUACUGGGCGUAAAGCGUGCGCAGGCGGUUUUGUAAGUCUGAUGUGAAAUCCCCGGGCUCAACCUGGGAAUUGCAUUGGAGACUGCAAGGCUAGAAUCUGGCAGAGGGGGGUAGAAUUCCACGUGUAGCAGUGAAAUGCGUAGAUAUGUGGAGGAACACCGAUGGCGAAGGCAGCCCCCUGGGUCAAGAUUGACGCUCAUGCACGAAAGCGUGGGGAGCAAACAGGAUUAGAAACCCUUGUAGUCCCAUGAU
RNAcentral lists this ribosomal RNA (479 nucleotides) under uncultured organism. Its description in RNAcentral is "partial 16S ribosomal RNA". It matches the Rfam family "Bacterial small subunit ribosomal RNA", at positions 331 to 801 of the family's 1533-position model. The record is from RNAcentral.